Molecule: microRNA precursor, 204 nt
Organism: Oryza sativa Indica Group (long-grained rice)
Lineage: Eukaryota; Viridiplantae; Streptophyta; Magnoliopsida; Poales; Poaceae
Rfam family: MIR812 microRNA precursor family
Source: Rfam
AAUAAGUGCAGCCAUGAGUUUCCGUGUCCAAGUUUGAUCGUUUGUUUUAUUUAAAAAAAAUUAUAAUUAGCAUUUUUGUUGUUAUAAGAUGAUAAAAUAUGGAUAGUGCUUUACUCGUGACUUAUGUCUUUAAUUUUUUUCAAAAAAAUUUCAAAUAAGACGAAUUGUCAAAGUUGAGCGCUGAAAACCAUGGCUGCACUUAUU